Molecule: long non-coding RNA, 243 nt
Filed under: Rattus norvegicus (Norway rat)
Lineage: Eukaryota; Metazoa; Chordata; Mammalia; Rodentia; Muridae
Description: long non-coding RNA NONRATT012478
Rfam family: Histone 3' UTR stem-loop (bases 121-166)
Source: RNAcentral
UACACGGAGCACGCCAAGCGCAAGACCGUCACUGCUAUGGACGUGGUCUACGCGCUUAAACGCCAGGGCCGCACCCUCUACGGCUUCGGCGGUUAAGGCUUUUUAUUUCUAUUUUCUUAACCAAAGGCCCUUCUCAGGGCCGCCCAAAUUCUCUGUAAAAAGAGUUGUGAUGCUUGAGCCACCCAAUAUUGCAAUCCAGAGAAUAUGGAGAAAUUGAGAAAAUAAACAUUAAAAUUGUCUACA